Long non-coding RNA from Homo sapiens (human), 872 nucleotides. The record is from Ensembl. Lineage: Eukaryota; Metazoa; Chordata; Mammalia; Primates; Hominidae.
GGCAACCCACUCGGGUUUUCCUCCACUCUGUGGAAGUUUUGUUCUUUCGCUCUUUGCAAUAAAUCUUGCUGCUGCUGCUCACUCUUUGGGUCCACAGUGCCUUUAUGAGCUGUAACACUCACUGCGAAGGUCCGCAGCUUCACUCCUGAGCCAGCCAGACCACGAGCCCCACCAGAAGGAAGAAACUCCGAGCACAUCCGAACAUCAGAAGCUAGUAGACCUUGAGAACCUGCACCUAGAAGAGGAAUGGAUAUCACCUGAACGUACCUGAAGAACAGCCCACAACGUGAUAUUCAGUUGUCUCCUGCUGGGAAGGGCGUGAAUGUAUUUGUGAUUAAAUGAGGGAGAGGUGGAUUACAUUAAAUGGGGAGACCUUCAGAAUUAGCAAUUUCUGCUAAUGGAGCAGGGGGUACCAGCAUGUGCGGAGCGACCACGAUGUGUACUGGAUGCAUUAAACCUCUCCUGAAGGGUCUGCCCAUCUCUUGAUGUGUGUACUCCAGAUUGAGAGCAUCGUUGUGAUGAAACUGCGUUAGCUUAAGGGACCCACCAUGAACAAAGUAAUGCCUCCUUCCCCAGGGAAGCUCUCAUCCAAUGAUUAUCAAUAGGGUAUUAUAAUUACUUGCCCCUCUUCUUCCAGUUUGGGACAGUUCUUCAGAGUGAUCUCAGUUCUACAGCUCUUUGGGCACUGGAUUGCAGCUCCUCUUUUCCUUCUGCUUCAUCCUGCUUUCUUCUCUUCACUCCCCCACAUUUGUAUUCCCAAGAACAUGCUCCUGCAAUAACAUUGUGAUGUGCACAUCUCCAACACAGCAUCUGCUUCCCAGGGAAUCCAAUCCGUGACAAGCACUAAAAUAAACUUUACUUUACUGGUCUGA